GACGAACGCUGGCGGCGUGCUUAACACAUGCAAGUCGAACGGAAAGGCCCUGCUUUUGUGGGGUGCUCGAGUGGCGAACGGGUGAGUAACACGUGAGUAACCUGCCCUUGACUUUGGGAUAACUUCAGGAAACUGGGGCUAAUACCGGAUAGGAGCUCCUGCUGCAUGGUGGGGGUUGGAAAGUUUCGGCGGUUGGGGAUGGACUCGCGGCUUAUCAGCUUGUUGGUGGGGUAGUGGCUUACCAAGGCUUUGACGGGUAGCCGGCCUGAGAGGGUGACCGGCCACAUUGGGACUGAGAUACGGCCCAGACUCCUACGGGAGGCAGCAGUGGGGAAUAUUGCACAAUGGGCGGAAGCCUGAUGCAGCAACGCCGCGUGCAGGAUGACGGCCUUCGGGUUGUAAACCGCUUUCGCCUGUGACGAAGCGUGAGUGACGGUAAUGGGUAAAGAAGCACCGGCUAACUACGUG
RNAcentral lists this ribosomal RNA (468 nucleotides) under uncultured bacterium. RNAcentral's name for it is "partial 16S ribosomal RNA". It matches the Rfam family "Bacterial small subunit ribosomal RNA", at positions 28 to 507 of the family's 1533-position model. The record is from RNAcentral.